This 468-nucleotide ribosomal RNA is filed under the name uncultured bacterium. Its description in RNAcentral is "partial 16S ribosomal RNA". It matches the Rfam family "Bacterial small subunit ribosomal RNA", at positions 28 to 507 of the family's 1533-position model. The record is from RNAcentral.
GACGAACGCUGGCGGCGUGCUUAACACAUGCAAGUCGAACGGAAAGGCGCUGCUUUUGCUGGGUGCUCGUGUGGCGCGCGGGUGUGUAACACGUGAGUAUCCUCCCCUUGACUUUGGGGUAACUUCAGGAAACUGGGGAUAAUACCGGAUAGGAGCUCCUGCUGCAUGGUGGGCGAUGGAAAGUUUCGGCGGUAGGGGAUGGACUCGCGGCUUAUGAGCUUGUUGGGGGGGUAGUUGCUUACCCAGUGUUUGACGGGUAGCCGGCCUGGGCGGGUGGCCGGCCACAUGGCGACUGAGAGACGCAGCAGACGCGUAUGGGAGGCAGUAGGGGGGAAUAUGGCACAACGAGCGGGAGUCUGAGGCGGAAACGCCCCGUGCGGGAAGACGUCCUUCGGGUUGUAAACCGCUUUCGCCUGUGACGAAGCGUGAGUGACGGUACUGGGUAAAGAAGCACCGGCUAACUACGUG